AGUAAAUAGAUACCCCGGUAGUCCACGCCGUAAACGAUGUCGACUUGGAGGUUGUGCCCUUGAGGCGUGGCUUCCGGAGCUAAACGCGUUAAAGUCGACCGUCUGGGGAGUACGGCCGCAAGGUUAAAACUCAAAUGAAUUGACGGGGGCCCGCACAAGCGGUGGAGCAUGUGGUUUAAUUCGAUGCAACGCGAAGAACCUUACCUACUCUUGACAUCCAGAGAACUUAGCAGAGAUGCUUUGGUGCCUUCGGGAACUCUGAGACAGGUGCUGCAUGGCUGUCGUCAGCUCGUGUUGUGAAAUGUUGGGUUAAGUCCCGCAACGAGCGCAACCCUUAUCCUUUGUUGCCAGCGGUUAGGCCGGGAACUCAAAGGAGACUGCCAGUGAUAAACUGGAGGAAGGUGGGGAUGACGUCAAGUCAUCAUGGCCCUUACGAGUAGGGCUACACACGUGCUACAAUGGCGCAUACAAAGAGAAGCGACCUCGCGAGAGCAAGCGGACCUCAUAAAGUGCGUCGUAGUCCGG
This 525-nucleotide ribosomal RNA is filed under the name uncultured bacterium. RNAcentral describes it as "bacterial SSU rRNA". It matches the Rfam family "Bacterial small subunit ribosomal RNA", at positions 774 to 1296 of the family's 1533-position model. The record is from RNAcentral.